UACGGAGGGUGCAAGCGUUAUCCGGAAUCAUUGGGUUUAAAGGGUCCGCAGGCGGUUUAAUAAGUCAGUGGUGAAAGCCUACAGCUCAACUGUAGAACUGCCAUUGAUACUGUUAGACUUAAAUUCGGUCGAAGUGGGCGGAAUGUGACAUGUAGCGGUGAAAUGCUUAGAUAUGUCACAGAACACCGAUAGCGAAGGCAGCUCACUAGGCCUGGAUUGACGCUCAGGGACGAAAGCGUGGGGAGCAAACAGG
Molecule: ribosomal RNA, 253 nt
Filed under: uncultured bacterium
Lineage: Bacteria
Description: partial 16S ribosomal RNA
Rfam family: Bacterial small subunit ribosomal RNA
Source: RNAcentral